GCAAGUCGAACGAUGAACCUCCUUCGGGAGGGGAUUAGUGGCGAACGGGUGAGUAACACGUGGGCAAUCUGCCCUUCACUCUGGGACAAGCCCUGGAAACGGGGUCUAAUACCGGAUAACACUGCGGAUCGCAUGGUCUGCGGUUGAAAGCUCCGGCGGUGAAGGAUGAGCCCGCGGCCUAUCAGCUUGUUGGUGGGGUGAUGGCCUACCAAGGCGACGACGGGUAGCCGGCCUGAGAGGGCGACCGGCCACACUGGGACUGAGACACGGCCCAGACUCCUACGGGAGGCAGCAGUGGGGAAUAUUGCACAAUGGGCGAAAGCCUGAUGCAGCGACGCCGCGUGAGGGAUGACGGCCUUCGGGUUGUAAACCUCUUUCAGCAGGGAAGAAGCGAAAGUGACGGUACCUGCAGAAGAAGCGCCGGCUAACUACGUGCCAGCAGCCGCGGUAAUAC
Molecule: ribosomal RNA, 454 nt
Filed under: Streptomyces xantholiticus
Lineage: Bacteria; Bacillati; Actinomycetota; Actinomycetes; Kitasatosporales; Streptomycetaceae
Description: bacterial SSU rRNA
Rfam family: Bacterial small subunit ribosomal RNA
Source: RNAcentral